UCUAACCGAGUCCGCCAAGGGUGUUAAAAUAUUCACACGUGAAACACAUUUUUUUUUUUAAAACCAGCCGUUCCUUGGCGUUGGCCGAGUUACACAUUCACGUGGGGGUUCGACGUGAAGUGAGCUCUAAUACUACCCCAGGAGUUACCCUCCUCGCCUCUACAACCGGAGUAACUAUAUAACUGGGUUUACCGUGCCCCUCUAAU
Molecule: long non-coding RNA, 206 nt
Filed under: Theobroma cacao (cacao)
Lineage: Eukaryota; Viridiplantae; Streptophyta; Magnoliopsida; Malvales; Malvaceae
Description: long non-coding RNA (TCAC_LNC000956)
Source: RNAcentral